Molecule: ribosomal RNA, 465 nt
Filed under: uncultured bacterium
Lineage: Bacteria
Description: partial 16S ribosomal RNA
Rfam family: Bacterial small subunit ribosomal RNA
Source: RNAcentral
GACGAACGCUGGCGGCGUGCUUAACACAUGCAAGUCGAACGGAAAGGCCCUGCUUGCAGGGUACUCGAGUGGCGAACGGGUGAGUAACACGUGGGUGAUCUGCCCUGCACUUCGGGAUAAGCCUGGGAAACUGGGUCUAAUACCGGAUAGGAGACAUUUUUAGUGUGAUGGUUGGAAAGUUUUUUCGGUGUAGGAUGAGCUCGCGGCCUAUCAGCUUGUUGGUGGGGUAAUGGCCUACCAAGGCGGCGACGGGUAGCCGGCCUGAGAGGGUGGACGGCCACAUUGGGACUGAGAUACGGCCCAGACUCCUACGGGAGGCAGCAGUGGGGAAUAUUGCACAAUGGGCGCAAGCCUGAUGCAGCGACGCCGCGUGGGGGAUGACGGCCUUCGGGUUGUAGACUCCUUUCGCUAGGGACGAAGCUUUUUGUGACGGUACCUAGAUAAGAAGCACCGGCUAACUACGUG